UGAUAGCUGGUUCUCUCCGAAAUGCAUUUAGGUGCAGCGUCGGGGAUUACGUCCGGGGGGUAGAGCUACUGGAUGCUUGAGGGCCCGUAUCGGGUACCGACAGCAGCCAAACUCCGAAUACCCGUGACGCGUAUCCCGGCAGUGAGUCGGCGGGGGAUAAGCUCCGUCGUCGAAAGGGAGACAGCCCAGAUCGUCGUCUAAGGUCCCCAAGCGCGUGCUAAGUGGGAAAGGAUGUGGAGUCGCAUAGACAGCCAGGAGGUUGGCUCAGAAGCAGCCAUCCUUGAAAGAGUGCGUAACAGCUCACUGGUCUAGUGGUUCCGCGCCGACAAUGUAGCGGGGCUCAAGCACGCCACCGAAGACGCGGCAGCGUCCGUUUGGAUGCUGGGUAGGAGAGCGUCCCCAUCGGGGCGAAGCGGCGGCGCAAGCCUGCCGUGGACCGUUGGGGAGUGAGAAUGCAGACAUGAGUAGCGAGAGGCGGGUGCGAAUCCCGCCCGCUGGAUGACCAAGGGUUCCGGGGCCACGUUCGUCGUCCCCGGGUGAGUCGGGUCCUAAGGCGAGGCCGACAGGCGUAGUCGAAUGGAUGAACGGGCUGAUAUUCCCGUACCGGCAGCGAACCGAAACAACCGAGGCCUGGGGCGCUAACCUCCGGGUCCGUGCCGUCUCCCCUUUCGGGGGGUCGCGGCGCGGGCGCGUUGGGAUCCCCCCUCGUAGUAGGUCAGCGCAGGAGUGACGCAUCAGGGCAGCCGGCCGCGGAGGUGGUUUUCCGUGGUCAAGCGUUCGAGCCCGUCCCGCAGGCAAAUCCGCGGGGCGUCGGGGCGAGGCGUGAUGAUGGGGGCCUUACGGCCCGAAUCCGGUGAUCCGUGGUGCCGAGAAAAGCUUCGGCGUCAGGCGCGUUGCCGCCCGUACCCCAAACCGACACUGGUGGUCAGGUAGAGAAUACCAAAGCGAUCGAGCGAAUCCUGGUCAAGGAACUCGGCAAAUCACUCCCGUGCCUUCGGCAUAAGGGAGACCCCCUGCGGUGAUGAGCGGCGGGGGGUGGCACAGGCCAGGGGGUAGCGACUGUUUACCAAAAACACAGGAGCGUGCGAAGGCGCAAGCCGCUGUAUACGCUCUGACGCCUGCCCGGUGCCGGAAGGUUAAGAGGAUCCGUCAGUCUUUCUGUGAAGCGGUGAAUUCAAGCCCCGGUAAACGGCGGUGGUAACUAUAACCAUCCUAAGGUAGCGAAAUUCCUUGUCGGGUAAGUUCCGACCUGCACGAAUGGCGUAACGACUUCCCCACUGUCUCGACCAGGAGCUCGGCGAAAUUGCAGUACGAGUAAAGAUGCUCGUUAAGCGCAGAAGGACGAAAAGACCCCGGGACCUUUACUAUACCUUGGUAUUGGCGUUAGGCGCGGAUUGUGUAGCAUAGGCGGGAGGCUUCGAAGCGGGUGCGCCAGCAUUCGUGGAGCCGCAAGGUGAAAUACCGCUCUGUUCUCGUUUGACGUCUAACCUCGACAAGUCAUCCUUGUCAGGGACAGUGCCUGGCGGGUAGUUCAACUGGGGCGGUUGCCUCCCAAAGAGUAACGGAGGCGCUCAAAGGUCCGCUCAGCCCGGUUGGCAAUCGGGUGUCGAGUGUAAUCGCACAAGCGGGCUUGACUGCGAGGACGACGGUCCGAGCAGGGACGAAAGUCGGAGAUAGUGAUCCGGUGCCGGCGCACGGGCGCGGCAUCGCUCAACGGAUAAAAGGUACCCCGGGGAUAACAGGCUGAUCAUUCCCAAGAGUCCAUAUCGACGGGAUGGUUUGGCACCUCGAUGUCGGCUCGUCGCAUCCUGGGGCUGGA
Molecule: ribosomal RNA, 1819 nt
Filed under: human gut metagenome
Description: bacterial LSU rRNA
Rfam family: Bacterial large subunit ribosomal RNA
Source: RNAcentral